GUGCUCAUUUCGACAGCACAUAUACUAAAAUUGGAACGAUACAGAAAAGAUUAGCAUGGCCCUUGUGCAAAGAUGACAUGCAGAUUCAUAAAGCUUUCCAUUAAAAA
Molecule: small nuclear RNA, 107 nt
Organism: Perognathus longimembris pacificus (Pacific pocket mouse)
Lineage: Eukaryota; Metazoa; Chordata; Mammalia; Rodentia; Heteromyidae
Source: RefSeq, a predicted model, not a curated record